GGGGAUGAUCGGUUUCGACAUCGCCUGCGAAACUGCGAGAAGCGGGCCGAGGAUGCAGGGUUAUCUCGUAAACGAUCUCUGCGAACCAAUAGUUGCCGAUGCAAAGCGCAACGACUUCGCCCUCGCUGCCUAAGCGAGCCCGAUAGUCCGUCAGACCGUGGGUGAUCCCGCCACGGACCCUGGCGUCAUCUAGGGAUCUAGCUGUGUGACGGGGUCUCGACGUCACAUGGGACUUUUCUGAGACUGGGCUCGUCGACUUA
This 260-nucleotide transfer-messenger RNA is filed under the name Microthrixaceae bacterium. Its description in RNAcentral is "partial transfer-messenger RNA". It matches the Rfam family "transfer-messenger RNA", at positions 1 to 264 of the family's 374-position model. Rfam says of the family: Bacterial tmRNA, also known as 10Sa RNA or SsrA, is named for its dual tRNA and mRNA-like properties. Lineage: Bacteria; Bacillati; Actinomycetota; Acidimicrobiia; Acidimicrobiales; Microthrixaceae. The record is from RNAcentral.